Molecule: ribosomal RNA, 497 nt
Filed under: uncultured bacterium
Lineage: Bacteria
Description: partial 16S ribosomal RNA
Rfam family: Bacterial small subunit ribosomal RNA
Source: RNAcentral
GAUGAACGCUGGCGGCGUGCCUAAUACAUGCAAGUCGAGCGAACAGACGAGGAGCUUGCUCCUCUGACGUUAGCGGCGGACGGGUGAGUAACACGUGGAUAACCUACCUAUAAGACUGGGAUAACUUCGGGAAACCGGAGCUAAUACCGGAUAAUAUAUUGAACCGCAUGGUUCAAUAGUGAAAGACGGUUUUGCUGUCACUUAUAGAUGGAUCCGCGCCGCAUUAGCUAGUUGGUAAGGUAACGGCUUACCAAGGCGACGAUGCGUAGCCGACCUGAGAGGGUGACCGCCCACAUUGGAACUGAACCCGGGCCCAGCCUCCUACGGGGGGCAGCGGUAGGGAUCCUUCCGAAAUGGGCGAAGGCCUGACGGAGCAACGCCGCGUGAGUGAGAAGGUUCUUCGGAUCGUAAAGCUUUUUUAUUGGGGAAAAACAAAUGUUAAAGUAACUAUGCACGUCUGGACGGUACCUAAUAAAAAAACCACGGCUAACUCCGUC